CAGGGUGACAGGUGGUGCAUGGUUGUCGUCAGCUCGUGUCGUGAGAUGUUGGGUUAAGUCCCGCAACGAGCGCAACCCUCGACCUUAGUUGCCAGCAUUCAGUUGGGCACUCUAAGGUGACUGCCGGCUAAAAGUCGGAGGAAGGUGGGGGAUGACGUCAAAUCAUCAUGCCCCUUAUGACCUGGGCUACACACGUGCUACAAUGGGCGGUACAAAGGGUCGCGAACCCGCGAGGGGGAGCCAAUCCCAAAAAGCCGCUCUCAGUUCGGAUUGCAGGCUGCAACUCGCCUGCAUGAAGCCGGAAUCGCUAGUAAUCGCGGAUCAGCAUGCCGCGGUGAAUACGUUCCCGGGCCUU
This 355-nucleotide ribosomal RNA is filed under the name uncultured Anoxybacillus sp. Its description in RNAcentral is "bacterial SSU rRNA". It matches the Rfam family "Bacterial small subunit ribosomal RNA", at positions 1027 to 1382 of the family's 1533-position model. The record is from RNAcentral. Lineage: Bacteria; Bacillati; Bacillota; Bacilli; Caryophanales; Anoxybacillaceae.